This 497-nucleotide ribosomal RNA is filed under the name uncultured bacterium. RNAcentral's name for it is "partial 16S ribosomal RNA". It matches the Rfam family "Bacterial small subunit ribosomal RNA", at positions 28 to 507 of the family's 1533-position model. The record is from RNAcentral.
GAUGAACGCUGGCGGCGUGCCUAAUACAUGCCAGUCGAGCGAACAGACGGGGAGCUUGCUCCUCUGAUGUUAGCGGCGGACGGGUGAGUAACACGUGGAUAACCUACCUAUAAGACUGGGAUAACUUCGGGAAACCGGAGCUAAUACCGGAUAACAUGUUGAACCGCAUGGUUCAACAGUGAAAGACGGUCUUGCUGUCACUUAUAGAUGGAUCCGCGCCGCAUUAGCUAGUUGGUAAGGUAACGGCUUACCAAGGCAACGAUGCGUAGCCGACCUGAGAGGGUGAUCGGCCACACUGGAACUGAGACACGGUCCAGACUCCUACGGGAGGCAGCAGUAGGGAAUCUUCCGCAAUGGGCGAAAGCCUGACGGAGCAACGCCGCGUGAGUGAAGAAGGUCUUCGGAUCGUAAAACUCUGUUAUUAGGGAAGAACAAAUGUGUAAGUAACUAUGCACGUCUUGACGGUACCUAAUCAGAAAGCCACGGCUAACUACGUG